UGAUCAUCACGCGACGCGAAUUGUUUGUAUUUUGGAGUUCUUUUGGAGUUCUUGGAGUGAGUCUAUCGACAUUUGGAUUAACGUUACAUUGAGUGCAGUACUUGAUUGGUGUUGGAGUAUUUUCUAGUACAUCAAGAAGUACUACAUUUCCCAUUUACAGUGCACAAUGGACAACAUGUGGGCAUACAGUGAGCGAAGUAACAUGCGAAAAAGGGCUGCUAGAAGAGUAAAUAAGAUGUUUGAGUCUUUUGGAAAAAGAAAUAAGUUGUCAGCCUGAAAAUAGGCCAACUUUAGAUGGCCUACAAACGGAUCUGCAGUCAGAGGCAGAGCCUGACCCCCCGAGAGCACCAAAACUGAAAACGAAACGAACCCGGCGUCUAUUGGACGACUACGAUACAGAUGAGGAGGCCAUUGCACCGAAAAAUUUGCCGCAAGCUCCAUACAUACAACCACUAUCAAAAAGAGCUUGCUCCGCUUUAGAUGAGGUUCAACCAAGUUCUCUACAACACAGACCCCAAAGGUCCCCAUCUGUGACACAGGUUCCAGGGACCUCAAGACAGGCGUUGAUGGAAAGAAGCCCUACCUCUCAAUGGCAGAACUUUCCUAGAGAAAGUGCUCUAGGAAAGUCGUUACGGCAAGCAAUAGACCUAUCUGCACAGUCACCAGCUCAGACUCUUUUCCAGACUGCCCAUCAGAUGGGUCCAGAAGCAGAAAAUUAUAGUCAAUUGUCGUGGCAAAGAGGAUCAAUGCUACAAUCUCCCGAGGAGCCAACACAACCUCUGUGGCAUCGUGAAACACCCGGAAGAAGCUAUUCAAUGGAUGAUCCAUUCAAAAAAUCACUUCUUCAUGAUGUGUUAACCAAGCUUGAAGUCAUUAUGGAGCAGCAAAGAAACAUUUGGAAGAUUUAAGGUCCCUAACUUCCCUUGAAAGUAAUCUUCGAUCCAGUCCUGAAACAAGACGGAAAGUGGUAAUUGAACUUGGAUUGCUUGGUGGGGUGGAUGCUAAGGACAAAAUUUGGCGUAUAAUGAAACAGACAAUAAAAAAUGACUUUGCAAAAACGAUGAACUGGAAAGGCGCAAAUGGAAAAACACCAUUCCAAGGUCUUGAACUGAAAAAUGUUGUGAUUGAGGCUGUGAGACGAAACCCUGCAUGCUCUCAGACAACAGAGCUAGAAGUCGAAAAGGUUAUUAGGCGGUGGUUUUAUCUGGCUGGUGAUCGGGAGGGUGGCAGGAAAAAAAGAACACCAUUGCAAAGAUUUUAUGCAAACCAUUCCCUUACCCCUUUUCUGUUUACAACCAGCUUUUGUUUGCCUAAUUGUUAGUAUCCUUUUAUGUUGUUGCUUUUAUUCACUUACUUGAUUUGCUCAUUUGUAUUUAAUUUGUCUCUUAAAACCAGCAUAACUUAAUUUAUGCACAACAUUUUACUUGUUUUAAAUUGUACUAUUGGUUGGUUCACAUUUGGUCUUAAAAUUCUUUUUAUUGUGACUUCGUUUCUUUAAUUUUUAUUCAUUUACUUUAUAUAGAUUUCAUUCAUUUAUUUUGUCUCUUACAACCAGCAUAACUUCAUUUAUGCACAACAUUUACAAUUUGUUUUAAAUUGCACUAUUGGAUGGUUUGUUUAAAUUUUGUCUUAUUUUUAUUGUGACUUUGUUGCUUUACGUUUAUUCAUUUACUUUAUUUGCACAUUUGUAGAUUUACUUUAUUUAAUUUGUCUUCAACAAAUGAAUGCUGGUUGUAGGUUUAUUUUACUUCAUUUAUGCACAACUUUUCCAUUAGUUUUAAAUUGCACUACUGGUUUGUUUGUUUGUGUGGCUUUGCUUAAUUUCCAUUUUAUUUGUGGCUGUUGUUUUAAUUCUUAUUCAUAUUUACUUUACACUUUGUACAUUUAUUUAUUUUUUAACCAGCAUUAAUUUGGGUUAGUUUACACCAUUUAUGCACAAGUUAAUUUUGUUUCAAAUUUGCACUAUUGUUUUCUUUAGUUUUAAUUUUGUUUUCACACUUCUUGUGUCAUUUUUCAUAUUUGCCUUUCACGGUAUUAAAAUGUUUUUGGUCUUUCAUAACUAGCUUUUGUUUGGUUUCUUUUAAUUUAUGCACAACACUUUUACAUUUGUUUUUAAUUGCACUAUUGGUUUAAUUUUGUUUAUAAUGUAGUUUUUCUUUGCUGUGUGUUAUUCUUGUAUUUUGAUUUGAUUGCUUUGGUAUAAUUUACCAUGGUUUUUUUUUAAAACAACAAUUACAAUAAACAUGUUAAUUUGCA
Silurus meridionalis is the source of this 2256-nucleotide long non-coding RNA. RefSeq lists it as uncharacterized. Lineage: Eukaryota; Metazoa; Chordata; Actinopteri; Siluriformes; Siluridae. The transcript is spliced from 8 exons. The record is from RefSeq and is a predicted model, not a curated record.